This 696-nucleotide ribosomal RNA is filed under the name Faecalibacterium prausnitzii. Its description in RNAcentral is "bacterial SSU rRNA". It matches the Rfam family "Bacterial small subunit ribosomal RNA", at positions 440 to 1162 of the family's 1533-position model. Lineage: Bacteria; Bacillati; Bacillota; Clostridia; Eubacteriales; Oscillospiraceae. The record is from RNAcentral.
UGAGGAAGAUAAUGACGGUACUCAACAAGGAAGUGACGGCUAACUACGUGCCAGCAGCCGCGGUAAAACGUAGGUCACAAGCGUUGUCCGGAAUUACUGGGUGUAAAGGGAGCGCAGGCGGGAAGACAAGUUGGAAGUGAAAUCCAUGGGCUCAACCCAUGAACUGCUUUCAAAACUGUUUUUCUUGAGUAGUGCAGAGGUAGGCGGAAUUCCCGGUGUAGCGGUGGAAUGCGUAGAUAUCGGGAGGAACACCAGUGGCGAAGGCGGCCUACUGGGCACCAACUGACGCUGAGGCUCGAAAGUGUGGGUAGCAAACAGGAUUAGAUACCCUGGUAGUCCACACCGUAAACGAUGAUUACUAGGUGUUGGAGGAUUGACCCCUUCAGUGCCGCAGUUAACACAAUAAGUAAUCCACCUGGGGAGUACGACCGCAAGGUUGAAACUCAAAGGAAUUGACGGGGGCCCGCACAAGCAGUGGAGUAUGUGGUUUAAUUCGACGCAACGCGAAGAACCUUACCAAGUCUUGACAUCCCUUGACGAUGCUGGAAACAGUAUUUCUCUUCGGAGCAAGGAGACAGGUGGUGCAUGGUUGUCGUCAGCUCGUGUCGUGAGAUGUUGGGUUAAGUCCCGCAACGAGCGCAACCCUUAUGGUCAGUUACUACGCAAGAGGACUCUGGCCAGACUGCGUUGAACAAA